This 481-nucleotide ribosomal RNA is filed under the name uncultured bacterium. RNAcentral's name for it is "bacterial SSU rRNA". It matches the Rfam family "Bacterial small subunit ribosomal RNA", at positions 28 to 524 of the family's 1533-position model. The record is from RNAcentral.
GAUGAACGCUAGCGGCAGGCCUAAUACAUGCAAGUCAAGGGGCCAGCAAUGGCACCGGCGGACGGGUGCGUAACGCGUACAGAACGUACCCUUAGGUGGAGGAUAGCAUUGGGAAACUGGUGGUAAUACUCCAUGGUAUUGUUAGAUGGCAUCAUUUGACAAUUAAAGAUCACGCCUAAGGAUCGCUGUGCGUCUGAUUAGCUAGUUGGUAGGGUAACGGCCUACCAAGGCUACGAUCAGUAGGGGGUGUGAGAGCAUGACCCCCCACAUGGGUACUGAGACACGGACCCAACUCCUACGGGAGGCAGCAGUAAGGAAUAUUGGACAAUGGACGAAAGUCUGAUCCAGCCAUGCCGCGUGAAGGACGAAGGCGCUCAGCGUUGUAAACUCUUUUGGAUGGGGACAAACCACUCGAUUUAUCGGGUGCUGAGGGUACCAUCAGAAUAAGCACGGCUAACUCCGUGCCAGCAGCCGCGGUAAU